This 253-nucleotide ribosomal RNA is filed under the name uncultured bacterium. RNAcentral's name for it is "partial 16S ribosomal RNA". It matches the Rfam family "Bacterial small subunit ribosomal RNA", at positions 524 to 776 of the family's 1533-position model. The record is from RNAcentral.
UACGUAGGGGGCAAGCGUUGUCCGGAUUUAUUGGGCGUAAAGAGCGUGUAGGCGGUCAGGUAGGUCCGUUGUGAAAACUCGAGGCUCAACCUCGAGACGCCGAUGGAAACCAUCUGACUAGAGUCCGGAAGAGGAGAGUGGAAUUCCUGGUGUAGCGGUGAAAUGCGCAGAUAUCAGGAGGAACACCGGUGGCGAAGGCGGGUCUCUGGGCCGAUACUGACGCUGAGGAGCGAAAGCAUGGGUAGCGAACAGG